AGAAGUAGUUUUGGGGAGCGGGGCGGCGAGGCUGUGAGAUGGGAGAGGAGUUGGUGCGCUCAGCCCCGGCACCCCUGCUCCUGCUCCGCAGAAGUGGCUCCGGGCUCUGGGAAGGCAGCAGGGCAUGUUCAGCCCAUGCUCCUCAGCAGAACUGUUGCUUGCCGGAGCGGUGGCAGAAUUUAUUCCUUUCCACGCAGUCCUCCAGCAUCGCCGUGAGCGCGACUGCUGAGCGCGCCCAUCCCCGGGAGCGCAGAGCACCUGGCUGGCCGGGGUGCAGCCGAAAGGAGAUCAUUCGCCUGCUCACAGGGACCACCUCCACUUCACUUUGUGAAGGAACUUCCAGGGUGGGAAAGCUCCUUGUUUUGCAGCGAAUAUUGGAAAAUAAAAGCUGUUGCUUGUAGAAGGGAGACAUUCCUGAGCGCGUUAGGUAAUCGGUGACUGUGCUGCAGGAGCACAGAGCAGCCACCUAUGUUUCUUCAAAAAGAGCUUUACUUUGAUUUGAAUUGGGGCAACUUGUCCAAGAAUAAUAGAGAUAAAUGGGACCAGAAGCUGAGAAAGCAGCAGUUCUCACUGUGCCUGUGUCUCUGACAGAGGCCAGGAAGAUGCAGGCAAGCACUUGAAGAAUUGUAUCAUGUCAGUUUCUCUCUUUUACUUGCAAGUCUGGGGGACAAGUAAAUAGACUUGAUUUCGGUGUUUUGGAGGUGUUUAAUGCUAAUGGCACACCACCUCUAUACCUUUUUUCAAGUCCUCAUUAGUAUAAUUGAUGUGAUUUUUCAUCUUUGCUUUCUAAUUAUUUUAUUUAGGUUAUUAUGGGCUUGAUCCAGAAAAGCACAUCAUCUCCUGCAAAGUAAAGGCCCCUCUCUGAUAUUGUUGGUCUUUUUCCACGUUCUGGAGACAUGCUGCGAGAACAUGCAUGCGUUAUCUGACAGUGGGUGAUAGAAGAAAAGAAAAAAAGCAAAAAAAUAAAAGCACAGCCCUCCUAUUCUGCUCUCCCCAGCCUAGAUGGAUCCAACGUCACAUGGAGGGGAUCCAGGGUGAGUCAGGAAACAGUGCUGUGGUCCAAAAUUCCACUUUGCAUUACAGCUGGGAGGCAGCGUUUAGCAUCAUGUGGAUUUAUUUUCCUUUGAUGGGAACUGCAAAAUAA
Haemorhous mexicanus (house finch) is the source of this 1144-nucleotide long non-coding RNA. RefSeq lists it as uncharacterized. The record is from RefSeq and is a predicted model, not a curated record. The transcript has 2 exons. Lineage: Eukaryota; Metazoa; Chordata; Aves; Passeriformes; Fringillidae.